Molecule: long non-coding RNA, 119 nt
Organism: Sinocyclocheilus grahami
Lineage: Eukaryota; Metazoa; Chordata; Actinopteri; Cypriniformes; Cyprinidae
Exons: 2
Source: RefSeq, a predicted model, not a curated record
GCGGUCACAGGAUGGCCUCCGCUUGCUCAGAGGGCUGCAACAUUUUGAAGGAGGUAAGGCCGCAUGCAUGCGCGCUGCUGCAGAAAACAGAAGUCGAAGGUGACAGACAAAGCGAGAGU